AUUGCCUAGUAACGGCGAGUGAAGCGGCAACAGCUCAAAUUUGAAAUCUGGCCUCACGGUCCGAGUUGUAAUUUGUAGAGGAUGCUUCUGGCGACGUGCCUUCCGAGUUCCCUGGAACGGGACGCCAUAGAGGGUGAGAGCCCCGUCCGGUCGUGCACCUAGCCUCUGUGAAGCUCCUUCGACGAGUCGAGUAGUUUGGGAAUGCUGCUCUAAAUGGGAGGUAUACGUCUUCUAAAGCUAAAUACCGGCCAGAGACCGAUAGCGCACAAGUAGAGUGAUCGAAAGAUGAAAAGCACUUUGAAAAGAGGGUUAAAUAGUACGUGAAAUUGCUGAAAGGGAAGCGCUUAUGACCAGACUUGGGCUCGGUGAAUCAUCCGGCGUUCUCGCCGGUGCACUUUGCCGUCCCAGGCCAGCAUCAGUUCGCGCCGGGGGAUAAAGGCUUCGGGAAUGUAGCUCCUUCGGGAGUGUUAUAGCCCGUUGUGUAAUACCCUGGCGUGGACUGAGGUCCGCGCUCUGCAAGGAUGCUGGCGUAAUGGUCAUCAGUGACCCGUCUUGAAACACGGACUGAGGAGUCGUCUUCGUAUGCGAGUGUUCGGGUGUCAAACCCCUACGCGUAAUGAAAGUGAACGUAGGAGAGAGCUUCGGCGCAUCUCCGACCGAUCCUGAUGUUCUCGGAUGGAUUUGAGUAAGAGCAUACGGGGCCGGACCCGAAAGAAGGUGAACUAUGCCUGUAUAGGGUGAAGCCAGAGGAAACUCUGGUGGAGGCUCGCAGCGGUUCUGACGUGCAAAUCGAUCGUC
This 798-nucleotide ribosomal RNA is filed under the name Acremonium brachypenium. RNAcentral's name for it is "LSU rRNA". It matches the Rfam family "Eukaryotic large subunit ribosomal RNA", at positions 74 to 906 of the family's 3401-position model. The record is from RNAcentral. Lineage: Eukaryota; Fungi; Ascomycota; Sordariomycetes; Hypocreales; Bionectriaceae.